This is a small nuclear RNA of Bos grunniens (domestic yak), 104 nucleotides long. Lineage: Eukaryota; Metazoa; Chordata; Mammalia; Artiodactyla; Bovidae. The record is from Ensembl.
GUGCUCACUUCAGCAGCACAUACACUAAAAUUGAAACAGUACAGAGAUUAGCAUGGCCCCUGCGCAAGGAUGACACGCAAAUUCGUGAAGCGUUCCUUAUUUUU